Molecule: ribosomal RNA, 477 nt
Filed under: Lythrypnus crocodilus
Lineage: Eukaryota; Metazoa; Chordata; Actinopteri; Gobiiformes; Gobiidae
Description: partial 12S ribosomal RNA
Source: RNAcentral
UUAAACUGGGAUUUGGUACCCCACUAUGCCCAGUCGUAAACUUAAGUAAAUAAACACAUUCUACUUACUCGCCAGGGAAUAACGGACGCACAUUUAGUAAUAAAAAAUUACCGCAGCCACUGUUUAGAACCCAAAGGACUUGGCGGUGCUUUAUACCCCCCUAGAGGAGCCUGUUUUAGAAUCGAUACUCCCCGCUAAACCUCACCUUUUCUUGCUAUCCCCGCCUGUAUACCGCCGUCGUCAGUUCACCCUAUGAAGGAAUAACAGUGAACAAAAUUACACCUAAUAGCCAAAAUGACAGGUCAAGGUGCAGCUGAUGGAAAGGGACUAAAUGGGCUACAUUUACUGAUGCAGUAAAUUUACGAAAGUUAGUUAUGAAAAAACAACUGAAGGAGGAUUUAGUAGUAAGAAAAGAAUAGAGUGCUUUUCUGAACCCAAGGCCCUGAAGUGCGUACACACCGCCCGGUCCACCCUCAA